GGCGGCGUGCCUAAUACAUGCAAGUAGAACGCACAGUUUAUACCGUAGCUUGCUACACCAUAGACUGUGAGUUGCGAACGGGUGAGUAACGCGUAGGUAACCUGCCUGGUAGCGGGGGAUAACUAUUGGAAACGAUAGCUAAUACCGCAUAAUAUUAAUUAUUGCAUGAUAAUUAAUUGAAAGGUGCAAUUGCACCACUACCAGAUGGACCUGCGUUGUAUUAGCCGUAGGUGAGGUAACGGCUCACCUAGGCGACGAUACAUAGCCGACCUGAGAGGGUGAUCGGCCACACUGGGACUGAGACACGGCCCAGACUCCUACGGGAGGCAGCAGUAGGGAAUCUUCGGCAAUGGACGAAAGUCUGACCGAGCAACGCCGCGUGAGUGAAGAAGGUUUUCGGAUCGUAAAACUCUGUUGUAAGAGAAGAAACGGGUGUGAGAGUGGAAAGUUUCAACAACUGUGACGGAUU
This 469-nucleotide ribosomal RNA is filed under the name Streptococcus gordonii. Its description in RNAcentral is "bacterial SSU rRNA". It matches the Rfam family "Bacterial small subunit ribosomal RNA", at positions 38 to 478 of the family's 1533-position model. Lineage: Bacteria; Bacillati; Bacillota; Bacilli; Lactobacillales; Streptococcaceae. The record is from RNAcentral.